GUGGGGAAUCUUCCGCAAUGGACGAAAGUCUGACGGAGCGACGCCGCGUGAGUGAAGAAGGCCUUCGGGUCGUAAAGCUCUGUCAUCAGGGACGAACGGCCGGUGGAGUGGAAAGCCACCGGAUUGACGGUACCUGAGAAGGAAGCCACGGCUAACUACGUGCCAGCAGCCGCGGUAAUACGUAGGUGGCAAGCGUUGUCCGGAAUUAUUGGGCGUAAAGCGCGCGCAGGUGGGAUCUUAAGUCCAUUUUGAAAGUUCGGAGCUCAACUCCGUGAUGGGAUGGAAACUGGGAUUCUUGAGUACCGGAGAGGAAAGCGGAAUUCCCAGUGUAGCGGUGAAAUGCGUAGAUAUUGGGAGGAACACCAGUGGCGAAGGCGCCUUUCUGGACUGUGUCUGACGCUGAGAUGCGAAAGCCAGGGGAGCGAACGGGAUUAGAAACCCUUGUAGUCC
RNAcentral lists this ribosomal RNA (450 nucleotides) under uncultured bacterium. Its description in RNAcentral is "partial 16S ribosomal RNA". It matches the Rfam family "Bacterial small subunit ribosomal RNA", at positions 354 to 796 of the family's 1533-position model. The record is from RNAcentral.